Molecule: unclassified non-coding RNA, 144 nt
Filed under: soil metagenome
Description: partial internal transcribed spacer 1
Source: RNAcentral
UAAUAAGUGUUUUAUGGCACUUUUUAAAUCCAUAUCCACCUUGUGUGCAAUGUCGUCGAUCUUCUUCAUGGAGAUCGACCAAACAUCAACCUUUAUCUUUUAACUCUUUGUCUGAAAAAUAUUAUGAAUAAACAAUUCAAAAUA